AGAACGAACGCUGGCGGCGUGGAUAAGACAUGCAAGUCGAGCGCUGAUUAAAGGGUAGCAAUAUCUUUUAAUUGGAGCGGCGCAAGGGUGCGUAACACGUGGGUAAUUUGCCAUGAAGUUGGGGAUAACUUGCUGAAAGGCGAGCUAAUACCGAAUGUGGCCCGACGGAGACAUCUCUGUUUGGCUAAAGCUGGGGACCGCAAGGCCUGACGCUUCAUGAUAAACCCGCGGCCUAUCAGCUAGUUGGUGAGGUAACGGCCACCAAGGCUAAGACGGGUAGCUGGUCUGAGAGGACGACCAGCCACACUGGAACUGAGAGACGGUCCAGACACCUACGGGUGGCAGCAGUCGAGAUUUUUCAC
This 362-nucleotide ribosomal RNA is filed under the name uncultured bacterium. Its description in RNAcentral is "SSU rRNA". It matches the Rfam family "Bacterial small subunit ribosomal RNA", at positions 26 to 368 of the family's 1533-position model. The record is from RNAcentral.